AUGAUUGUGGCACCAAGUCCUGAUGGAAGAAGGGGCGGACUGCUGCUAGUCUGGAAGAAGGAGGUUAGGAUCUACUCCCGGGCUUUCACCCUAGAUUUCAUUGAUGUUUCGGUACAAGAACAGAACGGGGAUACAUGGAGGCUGACUGGUAUUUACGGAGAGCCUGGCUGGGAUAAUAAAGAACGUACAUAUCAGCUCCUAAGAGACCUUCAUGAUCAGUCCAACCUGCCGUGGGCGGUUAUUGGGGACUUCAACGAGAUUCUCUUCUCCUCGGAGAAAGAGGGAGGAGCUCCCCGACAGCAGACUCGACUUGAGGCGUUCCAAGACGCGCUCUCAUACUGUUCUUUGGAGGAUGUAGGUUAUACCGGUGACAAGUUCACCUGGUUCCGUGGUGGACUGAAGGAGCGGCUUGAUCGGGCCGUCUCAAAUUCUGGAUGGAUGGCCUUGCAUCUUAUGGCGGGUCUGAGUAAUUUGGACAUGGGGAAAUCUGACCACCGGCCAAUCUGUUUGGAUACUGAAUAUCUCGCAGGGGUGGCUACUAGCAGACCAAAAUACGCACGCAAAUUUGAAGCAAGAUGGCUGGCAGAGGAAACUCUUGAAGAGAUAGUUAAAACGGCCUGGCUCAAAGCAACCAUUCAAGAUUCAGUAAACAAAAGCUAG
This 660-nucleotide ribosomal RNA is filed under the name Triticum aestivum (bread wheat). RNAcentral's name for it is "partial small subunit ribosomal RNA". The record is from RNAcentral. Lineage: Eukaryota; Viridiplantae; Streptophyta; Magnoliopsida; Poales; Poaceae.